Non-coding RNA from Gossypium hirsutum (cotton), 87 nucleotides. The record is from Rfam. Lineage: Eukaryota; Viridiplantae; Streptophyta; Magnoliopsida; Malvales; Malvaceae.
CAUGUCAGCGCGCUUUGCUGACAUGUCAACAAAUCGCGUCCUCUGGAGCGCGAUUUGUGUCCACGUCAGUAAAGUGCGCUGACGUGG